AGUGAACGCUGGCGGUAGGCCUAACACAUGCAAGUCGAACGGCAGCACAGUAAGAGCUUGCUCUUACGGGUGGCGAGUGGCGGACGGGUGAGGAAUACAUCGGAAUCUACUUUUUCGUGGGGGAUAACGUAGGGAAACUUACGCUAAUACCGCAUACGACCUACGGGUGAAAGCAGGGGAUCUUCGGACCUUGCGCGAUUGAAUGAGCCGAUGUCGGAUUAGCUAGUUGGCGGGGUAAAGGCCCACCAAGGCGACGAUCCGUAGCUGGCCUGAGAGGAUGAGAGGCCACCUGUGAAGUGAGACAGGGUCCGGACCUCUACGGGAGGCAGCAGGAGGGAAUGUUGCACAAGGGGCGCAAGCCUGACCCAGCAAUGCCGCGUGAGGGAAGAGGGUCUUCGGAUUGUAAAGCUCUGUUGUUGGGAAAGAAAAGAUGCGUAAGUAACUCCUCCUAUACUGACGGUACCUAAACAGAAAGCCCCGGCUAACUACGUG
This 492-nucleotide ribosomal RNA is filed under the name uncultured bacterium. Its description in RNAcentral is "partial 16S ribosomal RNA". It matches the Rfam family "Bacterial small subunit ribosomal RNA", at positions 29 to 507 of the family's 1533-position model. The record is from RNAcentral.